AAAUUUACGUGUUGCUGAUUCUCAAGGUUAGCACGAUGUCUUUCUUAGCUGCAGUGAACAUUGGUAGAAGAGGAAUUCAUUGUUUUAGCACAACAAGUAAAAUUCCAAAGAGUUUAGAGGGCGGUCAGCAGCGAGUCAUCGACGCAGCGCUUGGUCUCGUUCGCGAGCAGGCAAAACUUAAGGGAGAGCAAGUGAGGGCAUUGGGUGGUGCUAAAGCUACAACAUGUCUUCUUGGAGUUCCUCUUGGACAUCAUUCAUCAUAUCACCAAGGUCCACAAUAUGCUCCACCAUUCAUACGAGAGGGAAUCUGGCAUGGAA
Molecule: long non-coding RNA, 318 nt
Organism: Helianthus annuus (common sunflower)
Lineage: Eukaryota; Viridiplantae; Streptophyta; Magnoliopsida; Asterales; Asteraceae
Exons: 3
Source: RefSeq, a predicted model, not a curated record